CUCCAUCACCUUGCCCGGUUGGUCGCCCAGCACCAGGCGUCUCCUCGCUAGCCAUUGUUACAGGAGGACAGGUGGCGUUAACAGUCCAUGCAGUGGAACAUUGACAGCUGUAAUGCAACCGGAGGUGAUAGAAACCAGACAUUAAAACGAUGUGACAGCGAUGCUUCUCCUGCCUCUUCCAGUCACUGACCCAUGUUGCAAGAAAGGCAUUGCACUGUAAUUGUGCACGUGACAUUAAAACUUGAAACUUGUUUAAGACGUUUAUGAGACCAAAUAGAUACAUUGUCAGAUAGAUUUAUAUUUAAUUUAGCCUACGUAUAUUGAACAGCCUAUGUAUGAUUGAAAUGUAAUCAAAGAUCAAAUGCAAUGUAUUUGAACAAAGAUCGUUAUUGCAUUAUAAGGAUGUGUGUCUCCUCUCAUCUCCUAGGAGGCUCUGAUACAGGAUGACUUCAGUUGCUCAGUGGGAUGUGGGAUGGCUCCCAGUCCUAGGCUGCAUCCUAAAUGGCACAAUAUUCCCUAUAUAGUGCACUACUUUUGACCAGGGCCCAUAAGGCUCUCGUCAAAAGGAGUGCACUGUGUGGGGAAUAAUGUGCCAUUUUAGGACGCAGUUCUAGUGCUGUUGCCAAGGAGUCAGGCAGCGCCACAAUUCUUUUGACCUCACAAGCAGUCCCUCUCCCUGGGGACACUGGGACACAAGGCAGUCAGUUGAGUUCCAGCAUCAGACAGAGGAUGCGUCCCAAAUGGCACCCUGUUCCUUUUAAUGUGCACUACAUUUGACCAGAGCCCAAAUGGGGAAUAGGGGGCUCUGUUUAAAAGAAGUGCACUGUAAAGGGAAUAGGUUUCCAUUUGGGACGUAGACAAAGUCAAGGUUGGUCUCAGUAGCAGUGACCUGAAAUAUAAGUGCUUACUACAGUGCAAUGCUUUAAUUUACAUGCAGGCUACGUUGAGUGUGUUCAAGUCAAGACACUUUUGCACUGACUUACCUGGGGUAACCUACAAAAUGAAAGUAAGAGAGAGUGUUGAUAUAGUAACUUUUAUUUCAUAGUGGGCUGUUGAACUGCAACCUUGAUGAUGUAAAUUAAAUACACAUUUAAUUUACAACAUUUUCUUGUUUUGUCUUUUGUGUUCCACAGCGCAUUAAUGAAUUCAGCUACUCACACAGCUUUGUGUCAAAGUCCUAUCAUCUUUUGAUUGGAUGAACAUUCAUUAUAUCCUUCCAAAUCAAUACCUGAGGAAAAUAUAUAUUUUUUAAAUCUCCUGAACAAAUAAAGGCUGCUAAAACCAUACGGUUCGAACACACA
Salvelinus fontinalis (brook trout) is the source of this 1301-nucleotide long non-coding RNA. RefSeq lists it as uncharacterized. Lineage: Eukaryota; Metazoa; Chordata; Actinopteri; Salmoniformes; Salmonidae. The record is from RefSeq and is a predicted model, not a curated record. The transcript is spliced from 2 exons.